AAUGUUCUAAGUCACCGGCUCUGGAGUUUCUUUGCACUUUGGAACCAACUUGCGGGAAGGAACUUUAAAAAUACUGAUGUCUCCAUCCAUCCCCAGAGGUUCUGAUUUAAUGGUCUUGGGGGUAUGGCCACGGCAUGAGGACUCUUAAAACUCUGCAGGUGAUUCUUAUGUGCAACAAAGUUUAAGAACCACUGAUGUAGGCCAUGUCGAUGUCAGUCUUCACUUAAAUCCAACAAGACCCCAGAGCUAAAACGUUCACCUGAAAGAAACUCCAUUCCCAGGCCUGCAUACUGACCUGCCCUGGCUCACAAGAAGCAAAGUGGUCCCUUAACAGGGGCUUCCUGGAGAAAAUGUCUUGACCUAAAAGAGUGAUUCGAGCUGCAGGGAUUUAAGAGAGACAGGGCCUUGCUCUAUCACCCAGGCUGAAAUGCAACGUUGCAAUCAUGGCUUGCUGUAGCCUCAAGCUCCUGGAC
RNAcentral lists this non-coding RNA (473 nucleotides) under Pongo abelii (Sumatran orangutan). The record is from RNAcentral. Lineage: Eukaryota; Metazoa; Chordata; Mammalia; Primates; Hominidae.